RNAcentral lists this small RNA (28 nucleotides) under Bombyx mori (domestic silkworm). RNAcentral's name for it is "piRNA piR-bmo-1655221". Lineage: Eukaryota; Metazoa; Arthropoda; Insecta; Lepidoptera; Bombycidae. The record is from RNAcentral.
UAGACGUGGAUAGACGAAGAGGUUGAGG